This 405-nucleotide ribosomal RNA is filed under the name bacterium. Its description in RNAcentral is "partial 16S ribosomal RNA". It matches the Rfam family "Bacterial small subunit ribosomal RNA", at positions 355 to 776 of the family's 1533-position model. The record is from RNAcentral.
UAAGGGAUAUUGCGCAAUGGGGGAAACCCUGACGCAGCAACGCCGCGUGGAGGAUGACACUUUUCGGAGCGUAAACUCCUUUUAUCAGGAAAGAAUAAUGACGGUACCUGAUGAAUAAGCACCGGCUAACUCCGUGCCAGCAGCCGCGGUAAUACGGGGGGUGCAAGCGUUACUCGGAAUCACUGGGCGUAAAGGACGCGUAGGCGGAUUAUCAAGUCUUUUGUGAAAUCUAGUGGCUUAACCACUAAACUGCUUAGGAAACUGAUAGUCUAGAGUAGGGGAGAGGUAGAUGGAAUUCUUGGUGUAGGGGUAAAAUCCGUAGAGAUCAAGAAGAAUACCCAUUGCGAAAGCGAUCUGCUGGAACCUAACUGACGCUGAGGCGUGAAAGCGUGGGUAGCAAACAGG